AUCAGCACGGCCCUUACAUCCGGGGCGACACACGUGUUACAAUGGCAUGGACANAGGGCAGCUACCUGGCGACAGGAUGCUAAUCUCCAAACCAUGUCUCAGUUCGGAUCGGAGUCUGCAACUCGACUCCGUGAAGCUGGAUUCGCUAGUAAUCGCGCAUCAGCCAUGGCGCGGUGAAUACGUUCCCGGGCCUUGUACACACCGCCCGUCAAGCCAUGGGAGCCGGGGGUACCUGAAGUCCGUAACCGCAAGGAUCGG
This 258-nucleotide ribosomal RNA is filed under the name Bacteroides sp. RNAcentral describes it as "partial small subunit ribosomal RNA". It matches the Rfam family "Bacterial small subunit ribosomal RNA", at positions 1189 to 1455 of the family's 1533-position model. The record is from RNAcentral. Lineage: Bacteria; Pseudomonadati; Bacteroidota; Bacteroidia; Bacteroidales; Bacteroidaceae.